This 1278-nucleotide long non-coding RNA is filed under the name Homo sapiens (human). RNAcentral describes it as "HSALNT0404483". The record is from RNAcentral. Lineage: Eukaryota; Metazoa; Chordata; Mammalia; Primates; Hominidae.
GUAUGAGUCACCAUGCCUGGUCCAAAUUCAUACGUCGAAAUCCUCCCUGCUAAUGUGAUAUUUGGAGACAGGGCCAUUGGCAGGGGAUUAGGCCAAGAGGGAGGAGCCUCAAAAAUGGGAUUGGUGCCAUUAUGCCAAAAGACACGGGCCAGCUGCUUCCUAUCUCUCUGCCAUAUGAGGGCACAACCAGGAAGAGGCCCUCACCAGCCACCAAACCUACAGGCACCUUGAGCUCGGACUUCCAGCCUCCAGAACUGAUUCUCGGCAAUUGGAUGAUGGUGUGUAUUGGGGUGAAUUCCUUCAUGUUUCUUCGGUUUGAGAUUUGUUGAGCUUCUUCGGGAUGAGUUUCAUCAGAUCUGGAAAAAUUCUAGCCAUUAUUGUCUUCAGGUUUUCACUCAUCCAGAAUGGGCUUCUCCAGUGGACCUCACAGGUGUUCCCUCUCCAAGACACACUGACCUAUGUCUAAAGUGGAACCUCAGCUGCAGAGGGCCUGACUUGCAGAGCCAGCUUGACAGCCGUCUCUGGAAGAGAACAAAAGCAUUUGCCUUUUUCUUUCUACCUCCAGAUCAUUUACUCUCCAUGAAGACAUCUCACUCAAAGUACAUUUUCUAUGUCAGAAUGCAAUAGCAGGACUAUUUGCCUGCCCACGUUAAACUAGAAGGCAAGCCUGCACUUAAUCAGCAAAAAGAAGGCGGUGCUCCAAAGGCAGACCAUGUACUGACAGCACCUGAGACACUCCUCCUCUCAGUUCAUCGCCUCUUCCCAAUUUCUUCUUGACCUAGGCAGGUCAAGAGAGCAUCACCGGGGCUGGGUCACGAAUCUCUACCACUCCCAGUCAUGGGUUCUCCCAAGCUCCUCUCAACACCCAACAGAACCGGGGCCGAGGCAGCUGCUGCACACACACACACGAGGUGAUGCCUGGGAAGCCUCCUGGGGGACCAGUGAUCCUCAGCGGUGGGGAGCAGAUGGGAGGGGUGCUCUGCUCAGGGCAGGAAGGCAAGAGCCAGAACCACAGCGCUGCCGCUGCUCACCGCGGCCAGCCCAAGCAGCAGGGCUCCCUCCUCCCUGUCUGCCAGCCCUCCCCAACGCACUCGGUAAGGGCAAGGGCGUCCCGGGGAUCCGGUCACGAAUCGCUCAGACCUUCUAAGAGACCUUUAGAGGCUCUGGGUGCACAUCCCCGGCCGGAUCUGUGAUUUACAAACAUCUUCCCCCUUCCUGUGGUCGUCCUUUCUUGAUGGUGUCCUUUGUAGCACAAAGGUUUUUAAUUUUGAUCUUAGA